This 733-nucleotide ribosomal RNA is filed under the name Listeria monocytogenes. Its description in RNAcentral is "partial 23S ribosomal RNA". It matches the Rfam family "Bacterial large subunit ribosomal RNA", at positions 1 to 730 of the family's 2925-position model. Lineage: Bacteria; Bacillati; Bacillota; Bacilli; Caryophanales; Listeriaceae. The record is from RNAcentral.
GGUUAAGUUAGAAAGGGCGCACGGUGGAUGCCUUGGCACUAGGAGCCGAAGAAGGACGGGACUAACACCGAUAUGCUUUGGGGAGCUGUACGUAAGCGUUGAUCCAGAGAUUUCCGAAUGGGGGAACCCACUAUCUUUAGUCGGAUAGUAUCCUUACGUGAAUACAUAGCGUGAGGAAGGCAGACCCAGGGAACUGAAACAUCUAAGUACCUGGAGGAAGAGAAAGAAAAAUCGAUUUCCUGAGUAGCGGCGAGCGAAACGGAAAGAGCCCAAACCAAGAAGCUUGCUUCUUGGGGUUGUAGGACACUCUAUACGGAGUUACAAAAGAAAGUUAUAAAUGAAGCGGUCUGGAAAGGCCCGCCAAAGACGGUAACAGCCCGGUAGUUGAAAUGGCUUUCCCUCCAGAGUGGAUCCUGAGUACGGCGGAACACGUGAAAUUCCGUCGGAAUCCGGGAGGACCAUCUCCCAAGGCUAAAUACUCCCUAGUGACCGAUAGUGAACCAGUACCGUGAGGGAAAGGUGAAAAGCACCCCGGAAGGGGAGUGAAACAGUUCCUGAAACCGUGUGCCUACAAGUAGUUAGAGCCCGUUAAUGGGUGAUAGCGUGCCUUUUGUAGAAUGAACCGGCGAGUUACGAUUUGUUGCAAGGUUAAGCGGAAAAAGCGGAGCCGUAGCGAAAGCGAGUCUGAAUAGGGCGCAUAAGUAACAGGUCGUAGACCCGAAACCAGGUGAUC